AGAGUUUGAUCCUGGCUCAGGACGAACGCUGGCGGCGUGCCUAAUACAUGCAAGUAGAACGCUGAAGAGAGGAGCUUGCUCUUCUUGGAUGAGUUGCGAACGGGUGAGUAACGCGUAGGUAACCUGCCUUGUAGCGGGGGAUAACUAUUGGAAACGAUAGCUAAUACCGCAUAACAAUGGAUGACACAUGUCAUUUAUUUGAAAGGGGCAAUUGCUCCACUACAAGAUGGACCUGCGUUGUAUUAGCUAGUAGGUGAGGUAACGGCUCACCUAAGCGACGAUACAUAGCCGACCUGAGAGGGUGAUCGGCCACACUGGGACUGAGACACGGCCCAGACUCCUACGGGAGGCAGCAGUAGGGAAUCUUCGGCAAUGGGGGCAAACCUGACCGAGCAACGCCGCGUGAGUGAAGAAGGUUUUCGGAUCGUAAAGCUCUGUUGUAAGUCAAGAACGAGUGUGAGAGUGGAAAGUUCACACUGUGACGGUAGCUUACCAGAAAGGGACG
This 505-nucleotide ribosomal RNA is filed under the name uncultured Streptococcus sp. RNAcentral's name for it is "bacterial SSU rRNA". It matches the Rfam family "Bacterial small subunit ribosomal RNA", at positions 8 to 495 of the family's 1533-position model. Lineage: Bacteria; Bacillati; Bacillota; Bacilli; Lactobacillales; Streptococcaceae. The record is from RNAcentral.